Molecule: ribosomal RNA, 154 nt
Filed under: Boletopsis leucomelaena
Lineage: Eukaryota; Fungi; Basidiomycota; Agaricomycetes; Thelephorales; Thelephoraceae
Also listed under: 3 other names
Description: 5.8S ribosomal RNA
Rfam family: 5.8S ribosomal RNA
About the family: 5.8S ribosomal RNA (5.8S rRNA) is a component of the large subunit of the eukaryotic ribosome. It is transcribed by RNA polymerase I as part of the 45S precursor that also contains 18S and 28S rRNA.
Source: RNAcentral
AACUUUCAGCAACGGAUCUCUUGGCUCUCGCAUCGAUGAAGAACGCAGCGAAAUGCGAUAAGUAAUGUGAAUUGCAGAAUUCAGUGAAUCAUCGAAUCUUUGAACGCACCUUGCACUCCUUGGUAUUCCGAGGAGUAUGCCUGUUUGAGUGUCA